AUGGUGACCAGGCAGCACCACAGCAAGGGCUCUCUGCCCAAAAGCACAAUGCUACCACCACCAGGGCCACUGCCCCGGCAUCCAAGACCUAGACACCACCUCACACGAUACCCGCCUCCACCCCAACGAAAGAGACAAGCAGAAAGGUCCCACCUUUCACACCCCUGGGCGACCCCCAGCGUCGAGACCCGAUAG
RNAcentral lists this ribosomal RNA (195 nucleotides) under Triticum aestivum (bread wheat). Its description in RNAcentral is "partial small subunit ribosomal RNA". Lineage: Eukaryota; Viridiplantae; Streptophyta; Magnoliopsida; Poales; Poaceae. The record is from RNAcentral.